AUUGAACGCUGGCGGCAGGCCUAACACAUGCAAGUCGAACGAGUGGCGGACGGGUGAGUAAUGUCUGGGAAACUGCCUGAUGGAGGGGGAUAACUACUGGAAACGGUAGCUAAUACCGCAUACCCUCGGAUGUGCCCAGAUGGGAUUAGCUAGUAGGUGGGGUAAAGGCUGACCUAGGCGACGAUCCCUAGCUGGUCUGAGAGGAUGACCGGCCACACUGGAACGUAGACACGGUCCAGACUCCUACGGUAGGCAGCAGUGGGGAAUAUUGAGCAAUGGGCGCAAGCCUGAUACAGCAAUGCCGCGUGUAUGAAGAAGGCUUUCGGGUUGUAAAGUACUGUCAGCGAGGAGGCGUUACCCGCAGAAGAAGCACCGGCUAACUACGUGCCAGCAGCCGCGGUAAUAC
RNAcentral lists this ribosomal RNA (406 nucleotides) under uncultured bacterium. RNAcentral's name for it is "partial 16S ribosomal RNA". It matches the Rfam family "Bacterial small subunit ribosomal RNA", at positions 30 to 526 of the family's 1533-position model. The record is from RNAcentral.